GAUGAAGAACGUAGCGAAAUGCGAUAAGUAGUGUGAAUUGCAGAAUUCAGUGAAUCAUCGAAUCUUUGAACGCACAUUGCGCCCUUUGGUAUUCCCUAGGGCAUGCCUGUUCGAGCGUCAUUUGAAACCUCAAGCUCAGCUUGGUGUUGGGUGUCUGUCCCCGCCUCACCGCGGGGACUCGCCUCAAAAUCAUUGGCGGCCGGUACGUUGGCUUCGAGCGCAGCAGAAACGCGAACUCGAGGCCCGGCGGAUCGGCGACCAGAAGUCACUUCUUCACAGUUUGACCUCGGAUCAGGUAGGGAUACCCGCUGAACUUAAGCAUAUCAAUAAGCGGAGGA
This 338-nucleotide unclassified non-coding RNA is filed under the name soil metagenome. RNAcentral describes it as "partial contains 5.8S ribosomal RNA, internal transcribed spacer 2, and large subunit ribosomal RNA". The stretch from base 1 to 120 matches the Rfam family "5.8S ribosomal RNA", at positions 35 to 154 of the family's 154-position model. The record is from RNAcentral.